AACGAACGCUGGCGGCAUGCUUAACACAUGCAAGUUGAACGCAGGAUAGGACUUCGGUUCUAUUGCUGAGUAGCAAACGGGUGAGUAACGCGUGGGAAUCUACCUUUUUGUGGGGGAUAACUGAGGGAAACUUCAGCUAAUACCGCAUAAGCUCUACGGAGGAAAGGCUUCGGCCGCAAGAAGAGGAGCCCGCGUCAGAUUAGGUAGUUGGUAGGGUAAAAGCCUACCAAGCCAAUGAUCUGUAGCUGGUCUGAGAGGAUGAUCAGCCACACUGGGACUGAGACACGGCCCAGACUCCUACGGGAGGCAGCAGUGGGGAAUAUUGGACAAUGGGGGAAACCCUGAUCCAGCAAUGCCGCGUGAAUGAAGAAGGCCUUAGGGUUGUAAAGUUCUUUCACCUGUGAAGAUUAUGACGGUAGCAGGAGAAGAAGCCCCGGCUAACUCCGUGCCAGCAGCCGCCGCGG
RNAcentral lists this ribosomal RNA (464 nucleotides) under uncultured bacterium. Its description in RNAcentral is "partial 16S ribosomal RNA". It matches the Rfam family "Bacterial small subunit ribosomal RNA", at positions 29 to 523 of the family's 1533-position model. The record is from RNAcentral.